RNAcentral lists this transfer RNA (71 nucleotides) under Ovis aries (sheep). It matches the Rfam family "tRNA". From Rfam's summary of the family: Transfer RNA (tRNA) molecules are approximately 80 nucleotides in length. Their secondary structure includes four short double-helical elements and three loops (D, anti-codon, and T loops). The record is from Rfam by way of RNAcentral. Lineage: Eukaryota; Metazoa; Chordata; Mammalia; Artiodactyla; Bovidae.
UCCCUCAUGGCUCAGUGGUAAAGAAUCUGUCUGCGGUACAGAAGACCCAGGUUGGAUUCCUGGGUCGGGAA